Molecule: ribosomal RNA, 484 nt
Filed under: uncultured bacterium
Lineage: Bacteria
Description: partial 16S ribosomal RNA
Rfam family: Bacterial small subunit ribosomal RNA
Source: RNAcentral
AUUGAACGCUGGCGGCAGGCCUAACACAUGCCAGUCGAGCGGAUGAAGGGAGCUUGCUCCUGGAUUCAGCGGCGGACGGGUGAGUAAUGCCUAGGAAUCUGCCUGGUAGUGGGGGAUAACGUCCGGAAACGGGCGCUAAUACCGCAUACGUCCUGAGGGAGAAAGUGGGGGAUCUUCGGACCUCACGCUAUCAGAUGAGCCUAGGUCGGAUUAGCUAGUUGGUGGGGUAAAGGCCUACCAAGGCGACGAUCCGUAACUGGUCUGAGAGGAUGAUCAGUCACACUGGAACUGAGACACGGUCCAGACUCCUACGGGAGGCAGCAGUGGGGAAUAUUGGACAAUGGGCGAAAGCCUGAUCCAGCCAUGCCGCGUGCGUGAAGAAGGUCUUCGGAUUGUAAAGCACUUUAAGUUGGGAGGAAGGGCAGUAAGUUAAUACCUUGCUGUUUUGACGUUACCAACAGAAUAAGCACCGGCUAACAUCGUG